This 243-nucleotide long non-coding RNA is filed under the name Zonotrichia albicollis (white-throated sparrow). RNAcentral describes it as "lncRNA (ENSZALG00000010862.1)". Lineage: Eukaryota; Metazoa; Chordata; Aves; Passeriformes; Passerellidae. The record is from RNAcentral.
AUGGAACACUUGGUAAAGGCAUGCAGAAGCUUUCUUCAGAAAGAGGGAAGCCAGCAGCUUUCCAGCAAGGCUCUGCUGGAGUUAUGUGCUCAGAGUGAAUACCAAGCACUUUUCAGGGCAUCCCUCUGCCCUUGCACUGGCGCCUUUGCCGAGGGCAGCAGCUGCGCCUCUUUUGCACCGCUGCAAUAUCUGACUGCAGCCCCAGCCUCAGCAGCAGGACAGACAUCUGAGCAUCCCAGGUAG